ACAUGCAAGUCGAGGGGCAGCAUAAUGGAUAGCAAUAUCUAUGGUGGCGACCGGCGCACGGGUGCGUAACGCGUAUGCAACCUACCUUUAACAGGGGGAUAACACUGAGAAAUUGGUACUAAUACCCCAUAAUAUCAUAGAAGGCAUCUUUUAUGGUUGAAAAUUCCGAUGGUUAGAGAUGGGCAUGCGUUGUAUUAGCUAGUUGGUGGGGUAACGGCUCACCAAGGCGACGAUACAUAGGGGGACUGAGAGGUUAACCCCCCACACUGGUACUGAGACACGGACCAGACUCCUACGGGAGGCAGCAGUGAGGAAUAUUGGUCAAUGGACGCAAGUCUGAACCAGCCAUGCCGCGUGCAGGAUGACGGCUCUAUGAGUUGUAAACUGCUUUUGUACGAGGGUAAACGCAGAUACGUGUAUCUGUCUGAAAGUAUCGUACGAAUAAGGAUCGGCUAACUCCGUGCCAGCAGCCGCGGUAAUACGGAGGAUUCAAGCGUUAUCCGGAUUUAUUGGGUUUAAAGGGUGCGUAGGCGGUUUGAUAAGUUAGAGGUGAAAUUUCGGGGCUCAACCCUGAACGUGCCUCUAAUACUGUUGAGCUAGAGAGUAGUUGCGGUAGGCGGAAUGUAUGGUGUAGCGGUGAAAUGCUUAGAGAUCAUACAGAACACCGAUUGCGAAGGCAGCUUACCAAACUAUAUCUGACGUUGAGGCAC
This 710-nucleotide ribosomal RNA is filed under the name uncultured Bacteroidales bacterium. Its description in RNAcentral is "bacterial SSU rRNA". It matches the Rfam family "Bacterial small subunit ribosomal RNA", at positions 53 to 754 of the family's 1533-position model. Lineage: Bacteria; Pseudomonadati; Bacteroidota; Bacteroidia; Bacteroidales. The record is from RNAcentral.